UAGCGGCGGAGGGUGAGUACACGUGGGUAACCUGCCUGUAAGACUGGGAUAACUCCGGGAAACCGGAGCUAAUACCGGAUAGUUCCUUGAACCGCAUGGUUCAAGGAUGAAAGACGGUUUCGGCUGUCACUUACAGAUGGACCCGCGGCGCAUUAGCUAGUUGGUGAGGUAACGGCUCACCAAGGCGACGAUGCGUAGCCGACCUGAGAGGGUGAUCGGCCACACUGGGACUGAGACACGGCCCAGACUCCUACGGGAGGCAGCAGUAGGGAAUCUUCCGCAAUGGACGAAAGUCUGACGGAGCAACGCCGCGUGAGUGAUGAAGGUUUUCGGAUCGUAAAGCUCUGUUGUUAGGGAAGAACAAGUGCAAGAGUAACUGCUUGCACCUUGACGGUACCUAACCAGAAAGCCACGGCUAACUACGUGCCAGCAGCCGCGGUAAUACGUAGGUGGCAAGCGUUGUCCGGAAUUAUUGGGCGUAAAGGGCUCGCAGGCGGUUUCUUAAGUCUGAUGUGAAAGCCCCCGGCUCAACCGGGGAGGGUCAUGG
This 547-nucleotide ribosomal RNA is filed under the name Bacillus pumilus. RNAcentral's name for it is "bacterial SSU rRNA". It matches the Rfam family "Bacterial small subunit ribosomal RNA", at positions 93 to 628 of the family's 1533-position model. Lineage: Bacteria; Bacillati; Bacillota; Bacilli; Caryophanales; Bacillaceae. The record is from RNAcentral.